CCUCCAUGAUCUGGGGACAGAUGAGGUGCACGUGGCAGUCGAUGGCGCCCGCGGUGACGAUGCGGCCGUUGCCCGCGAUGAUCUCGGUGGACGGCCCGACGACCAGAUCGCGGUGAACGCCGUCCAUGAUGUCCGGAUUGCCGGCCUUGCCGAUCGCGACGAUGCGUCCGUCGCGAAUGCCGAUGUCGGCCUUGAUGAUUCCCCAGUAGUCGAGGAUCACCGCGCCGGUGAUGACGGUGUCGGGGGCGCCGUCGGCGCGGGUGACGCGGCCUUGGCCCAUCGAUUCGCGAAG
RNAcentral lists this small RNA (292 nucleotides) under Mycobacterium sp. OAS707. Its description in RNAcentral is "5' ureB small RNA". It matches the Rfam family "5' ureB small RNA". Lineage: Bacteria; Bacillati; Actinomycetota; Actinomycetes; Mycobacteriales; Mycobacteriaceae. The record is from RNAcentral.